Long non-coding RNA from Diceros bicornis minor, 900 nucleotides. RefSeq lists it as uncharacterized. The transcript is spliced from 5 exons. The record is from RefSeq and is a predicted model, not a curated record. Lineage: Eukaryota; Metazoa; Chordata; Mammalia; Perissodactyla; Rhinocerotidae.
AAAAAGUAUCUAACAAAGAAGACUUUCUGCUGAAAAUAGAGAUUAAAUGCCUGGAAUGGAGAAAAGAGAAGAGUAUAAAUGCUGAAGACAAGAAACUGAGAUCACUGGAGUGAACCCCAGUUCCGAUGAAUUUACAAUUAUGUGAGAUCCUGCCACAGCACCCUAUGAUGGAAAAUUUUCACAGGAAACCUGUUCUUUCAGUUGCUUGAUGAUGCCACUUUCCUGAUGCCACGUUCCUGUCUCAACAGGGCCUUCUCUUGUCUGGAAUUCCAUGUCCUGCUGCUGUAAUCCCUGAACCAGUUACCUUAUAAGCCUCCAUCACAUAUCAGACAUCCUAUAUAUGUUAUUGAAGAAAUAAAUGAACGGAGGGAAGAAGGAAGGACCCAACCAAUUUGAAUUUGGUUCCCUGAGGUGCAAUGUUUGGUUGUUUAUUUGAGAUCUUUCUUGUUUCCUGAGAGUUUGGUGAGCACCUUUAUGAAUAUUUGAACUCUUUAUCAGGACCUGAAGGGUGUCCACUGUGGCCUAGCCUGAGGUCUGCACACCAUGGAUGACCUCACCCUACCUUACCUUAUGGCAGAAGCAUCUCUUGAUAUUCUCCUGUGUGAGAAAGAGAGACACCCUGUGGAUUUCAGAGAGAGCCCAAUGUAGCUCAGUUUACUUGAAUAUUCCAUAAAGGAAAAAUAUUAUUUCUUAAGAAGCUGGCAGCAAAAUAGAGCACAAAGACAGAUAAAGAGGAAGUUCAAGUGACCAGCACAGAUGAACCAAGAUCUAUAGCUUCAUGGCAUUGAGCAGAAAUUCCUCUGGGACUGUUUUCCCUACUGUGUGGCAAACCAAUGAAGAAUGUGCAGGAACCAUACAGAUUUAUAAAUUUGAAAGCAAAAGGUUGGAGAAAGUCAGAGU